GGGGGAAGGCCAUCCCCGUUAACGAUUGUUUCACCUGCUGAUCCUGUGGGAUUGCGCCUGGAGGGACGGCAACUCACAGACCUCGGGCACAGCUUGAAGUGCUGAGGGCAUGGCCGGGAGGGAGAGCUUUCUGUGGUGUGUGCCGGGAGAAGAAGGGCUUGGCAAGGCCGGAGAGCAGACGCUGCUGCUGCUGUCUGAUUCUUCCAGUAAUAGUGCUCCCCUCAAGCCACCCAGCCCAGAGGACCUUGGCUUUCUAGUUAGCCAUACCGGUGUAAAAGAUGCAGUUCGGUUUCUGAAAUAACAUGAAUUGAAGGCCGGUGUUCUGCACGUAGACCAAGUAAUAGAGGUGUUUCUUAACUGACAUUAUUGAUGGGAAAGAAACCAAGAUCUGAGAGGUGUAAAGGCUUCAUGUACAUACACAGAUGUUAAAAAAGUGAUGACUUUGGGAGAAAAAUAGGGUCUAGAGCCGUGUAAGACAUGAUCUGAAAGCUUUGUUGAUAGAGCAGCUACCCACCAGCUGACUAGAUUGCAGUGAGGUCUGCUUGUGAGGUACGCAGCUAAAAUGGUAAAGCUGAUGGAAGAGGAUGCCAGUGAGCUUCCUGCCAUGGCCAACAUAUUCCAAGGAGUCCUUGGAAGUUUGGGCCUAUUUAGAAUUUACUAACGACUGCAGCAAGGACUUUAAUUGUAGGAUUUAGGAAGAAGAUCGAAGUUUGGACUGCAGAUUGCUGGGGAAGUGAUCUGUGUAGGUGUGCGGUAGGGCUAGCUGGAGAACUUGGGAAAGCAUAGACAUGAACAAGAGCUUUUCACCCUUACUUGUGAUGCGCAGGGAAAAGUUGAAUAUCUUCAGGCAAAUAAUGUGCAAGCUCAGUAGUUUAGAGAGGAAGACUCUAUGGGAGAAGGAGGUUCCCCAUAACGCAUGGAUUUCCGUAUAAAUAGGUAGAAAGAUGAACUUCGGCAGCUGACUCAAAUAUUUAGUCUAUGAGAAAACAUUUCAGUUUACAGAGGAGCUGAGGAUGUACAGAACAGGCCAUCUUUGUCUUCCUCUCUGUAUUGCUGACUUGCAGAGAAAUUGUAGUUGUCCGUUCCUGUCAGAGGAAGAGGUUUGAUUCUGUGGGGCUGACAAACCAUUGCAAUAGAUCGGGAAGCUGAAACUAUGUCAGUUGUCUGCAGAGUGGCGAAGGGCCAGUGGCUGUUUCUGGGUCUCUCUUAAGCCUGCUAGAGAGACUAGGAGAUACGAUUUGAUACGAGGGUAUAAAGACUGAAGGGAGUAACAGUUCAUUAAAGUGAAACUUACUUUUUCCUGAUAGGAGCAACGGAAAGAAACUCGUGUGAGUAGCUGUGGCUAUAAGCAUCCAUAACUGUACACAAAGCCGUAGGAUGAUGUUCAUCUAGCACAGCAUCUUGUCCAUGACUGCUAGAAGAAGCAUCUAGCAGGAAAGGCACAGCGUGAUGCUUUCCUGUGUGGACCCUUGGCUUCUGGCCAUCUGCUGUUUAGGUACUUCCUGAGUCAAAGGUUGAAUGCUCAUCAAUAUGAUUCCCAGCCCCAAGGAAAUUUUUUACCUUGAGCUCUUCUUAAGUGCUUUAUGAAACCAUUGUUAUUUUUGGCAUGCAUAAAACCCAGUGACAAUGAGUUCUGCAGUGUAAGAACCGUGCUGUGCAGACCAGUACUGCCUUCUCCACUCUGUUCAUUGCUCAUCGUUCUCUCCAUCUGCUAUCAUGUCUCACCUCGGUUGUUCCUAAAGAUAGGUCCCUUUCUCUGGCAUCCUCAUUCUGCUGUCCUUGCUGCCCUUCUUUCUUUCCUACUUGUGCCAUAUCCUUUUUGAGAAGGGGGGACCAAACUUGCAUCCAGUGUUCAAGCUGCAAGUGUCUCAUAGUUUUACGCACCUUUACAGUAUGAGUCCUGUUUACUUCUUUCUUUUUCAUGUUUGCUCUUUUGAGCCACGAACCUGACACUGCAAAAGAACUGCCCCCCGUGACUUCCCCAGUGAGAACAGACAGGUAGCACCCACCACUACAAAAAGGGAGGAUUCCUUCCCUUUCUACCCCGCCCUCACUGCAAUAUUUUACUUUGCAAUUAUGAAAUAUGUGAUAUUGCUUCUAUUUAAUUUAGUCAUGCAAUAUUAUGAAAAUUCUUUGCAGCACCUUCCUGCCAGUUUUGGUUUCUACAGUCCUGAAUGAUCUUUUUUCUCACCAGGAAACUUAGCAUGUACCUCAAAGAGUGCACCAUCCUUCCUUUUACACAUGCACAGGGGGGUUACUCCUCAGUCUCAUCUUUGUGCGCACAAGUUCUGGUCAUUGCUGUGGCUUUGUGCAAUUUUCUCAGUACAGAAAUUGGAGUUGGUGGUUUGUAGUUUGUUGGAUUACCUCCACAGCCUUUUUAAAGAUUGGUAUCAAAGUUACCACCCUUAUUUCUUUGGUACUGAGACCAUUUUGAUGAGCAGGUUGCACAUCACAGUUCAUAGUUUAGCCUCUUCAUCCUUCAGCUGGUACAAAUCUCUGAUCCUGGUGAUGAAUAGUGACUCAUUUUAUGCAUUUCAUGUUACAUCUCUUACUAGCACUCACCAUGAGACAGUUCUUUUCACUUGUACCCCAUCAGUAAAGGUUCUUGUCUGGGAAGGUCUCCAAGAUCCCAUGGACAGAUGCAAAGAAUUAAUUUAGCUUUUCUCGUAAUCCUUCCUUGAGAAUUUUGUAUGUUGUGAUCAUCUGUUGACCUCAGACUGACCAGCAGAUUUUCUGUUUCUAGUGUGCUCGCAAAAGUUGUAUUUGCUCAUUUUUGGUAUGAAGUUUAUGGUUAGAAAUGAUCAUACCUCAAACUGUGCCUUAAAUUGAGGGACAGUUUGCUGGGUGCUAAUAUGCAGUCAAAUAGACCUGUGAUGCUUCUGUCCAGGUGGUGGUUUUGGUACACCCUGCUCCUAAUAAAAAGCUCUGCUGAAGAUAGAGCAAAAAGAAGAAACAUGUUUAGAAAGAGAAAGCUGCCUCUUCUUUUCCUAUAAGUUUCAGAAAUGUAAGCCACUCUUGGAUAAUGUACUUACUAGAAUAACGAAUGUAGAAUUGCAGAAAUGGACUUAAGAGCAAUAAGUUUCCCCAAUGACUGAGAUAGCAAAAAAAUUGUGUGACUCAUACGUGGCUCAUGCAGCCAUCUGAAAUUAUUUUAUCCAGAUUAAAAGGUUUCUGGUCAGAGCAGGAAGCUAACAGUUUAGAAGAUAGAAUACUUUGUAAGAAGUGGGAUGGGCACAAGAAUCAGUUGACAAAGGGAAUUUUGAAUUAUUAUAAAACAGAUUGCUGUUUCAGGGUAGCAAAAAUGUUAAUCUAAGAAAAAGAUGGGGGUAAAAUACUCCUGGGGCAGGAAGUGUAGUAAGCGUGCUGCAAAAGAGUGUUUCUGUAACUGCAUGGGGUGCUGUAUUCUGUGGGCAUGUCUUGGAUGUGCUUGGGCUCAAAACCUGCGUAAUGAAGAAGCAAGAGUAUGUAAUACUAGCACAGACUCAAAUAAAAUGAGUUCUCAGCCAGAUUUGAUUUCUGAAAUAGGUCACAUUACGCUCAGGGAGGAAGGUUGGGGCCCCAGCUACCUACCUCGGUGGGUCUGGGGGAGUUGGAUUCCGCAGGAGAUACUUCACUGCGGCACAGUCUCGCAGUGUAAAGGGAAGAGUUCUGUUUUCUGCCUUUGCAAAACAGCUCCUCUGGGAGCAGGCUGGACAUACUCCAUUUCUUUUAGAUGGCUUGUAGAAUAGCUAUUAAACGGUCAAUAAAAGCAUAAAAUAUACCCGUCAUUCUUUAUGUUUGGGUUUGAGUAAGAACCUCAGUAAAAAUCGUGCUUUGAGUUCCUAAAGACGGAUUAAAGGGAUUUGGGCUAUACUUAAAUUACUGACGCUCAGUCUCCUUGUCAGACUGUCCUGUUGGCUUGUAAAUGCUAAUACAGAUGCAGAGAUUCCAGACUAAAAGGGACACAAUCUAGUUUGGCAGGUAACCCUUUACAAAUACAAAUAAACCAUUGCAAAUUGUUUGGCCAUUAGUAUGCAAUUGUUUUAGUAUUUGAAUGAACACCAGACUUUGAUAAAUUGUUACUGGAAAAUUAGAUCCAUGACCAAAGAAACGCAUUCAGUUUGAUUUGAUUUGAUUUCCUGAGCUAAGGGAAAGGCCAUAUAAUUUAACUGUAGUUGGUUUUCCUUCUUUCCUUAUUAAAAUUGAUUAUGUUAUUGUUUGCUGUUGUAUUUUAGAUGACAGCCAAGGAACACAAACUGCAUUGUGGGCACUAGGAAAAAAAUACUAAUGAAGGAUCAAUAGAAAAGGACAGCAUUUGGAAGGAGAAAGAAAAAGUGGCAAAGAAGAUGUAUUAAAUUGACUUGUUCUGCAGCAAGUAUUUGCGUUUCUUCUAACAAAGAGACUGGAUCCUUAGGAGACAACUCCCACCAUCAUAUCUUAUCCCAUGUUUCAUUUGGGAAGAACGCAGUGGGAAGGAUUUAAAUCACACCUUAAAGUCAAAGGCCAGAUCUGACAGAAAGGCAAAAUUCUUUCAAAAGUGUGACGUACCUCUAAGUUUUAUGAAAAUCAGUGGCUGGGCCAGAGGAGAGAUCUUAUCCGUUUCAUCACUGGAGAACAUCACAGCAUUGUCCCCAGUGACCUGUAUUUUAUGUCUAAGUGGCAACAGAAGUGCGUAAACACCUUGGAGAUAAGUAGCAUGAUGACACAUUAUGGGAGAAGGGCACACAAGUUAAAGGAAAAGCAGUUUUGGUUUUCAGACAGCUUCUCCAACUUAAUCUGACAUCUGCUAAUGCCUUCCUCACAUCCAUAUCGUGAUGAUUAUUUAAAUGGAGAAAUUGAUAAGAUCAUUUAAGAAACUAAGCUUCCUGUAGUUCCUCCCUAUUCGCUAACAUGCUGGUCAGCAGAUAAUGUUUAAACAUCUCCUUAGCAAAGAGAUAAGGUUUCUUGUCACACUCUGGGAAGCAGCUUCUUCUGUUAGGGAAUUCCAACAAGUCAGUACCUUAAAAAUUUAUUUAAACCCGUGUUGGUGACAUGCCUUUUCUUCAAUUGUCCUACCCUUCCUCACUAAACCCAGGUUACAUGUUUCCCGAAUUCUUUCAAGCUUAAAUCUGAAGCAUCUGAGUGUCUGGAAACUACUGUCUUGCAAGGGAUUCGGAACGGGCUAAUGGGUAGAGAUGAGAAGAAAGAGAUACCCUGUUGUGAUGAUCAAUGUAAAUAAGAAAAUUCUCUCCUCCCCUCCUCCAUUAACAAAAAAAGAAUACAGUUUUCUUCUUAGAUAAGAUAAUAAGGCA
Molecule: long non-coding RNA, 5270 nt
Organism: Falco peregrinus (peregrine falcon)
Lineage: Eukaryota; Metazoa; Chordata; Aves; Falconiformes; Falconidae
Exons: 3
Source: RefSeq, a predicted model, not a curated record